Molecule: ribosomal RNA, 232 nt
Filed under: uncultured bacterium
Lineage: Bacteria
Description: partial 16S ribosomal RNA
Rfam family: Bacterial small subunit ribosomal RNA
Source: RNAcentral
CGGACGGGUGAGUAAUGUAUGGGGAUCUGCCUGAUGGCGGGGGAUAACUACUGGAAACGGUAGCCAAUACCGCAUAAUGUCUACGGACCAAAGCGGGGGACCUCCGGGCCUCGCGCCAUCAGAUGGACCCAUAUGGGAUUAGCUAGUAGGUGAGGUAACGGCUUACCUAGGCGACGAUCCCUAGCUGGUCUGAGAGGAUGACCAGCCACACUGGAACUGAGACACGGUCCAG